Long non-coding RNA from Fundulus heteroclitus (mummichog), 829 nucleotides. RefSeq lists it as uncharacterized. The record is from RefSeq and is a predicted model, not a curated record. Lineage: Eukaryota; Metazoa; Chordata; Actinopteri; Cyprinodontiformes; Fundulidae. The transcript is spliced from 4 exons.
CCCCUUUAGGGGCUACAUGGGACCAAUUGUAGACUGGACCACAAUCCUUUCUAGACGUGUGUACUAGAAGAGGGAUGCAGUGGACUUGUGUUUGCCAAGUUCUACAGAGUCGCCAGUAAGAACCUCAAGAAGGACUUCUAUGAAGCUCUGGACCACCAUACCACUCGUCUCAUUGACCUCUUCAAAUCCAAAAAAGGAGUUGUUGGUGACUCACUUGAUCACCUCGUCCAGCCAAUGAAUUUACAAACUAAUGACAUCACCACAACACGCACUGCCAUUCUUCAAUGCCUGCCCUUGGAGAUAAUUUCGGCGAAUUCUUCAUCAGCUGCCCAGUAAGUACAUUUAUAAUGAUAAUUAUAAAAAUUAGUUAUAUUCACAAGAAUUUGGACUCACAGCUUUCAGUUUUACAUUCACCUAACAACGAUACUAACCCACAAUUUUUCUUACACACAUGUAACAGCAGAAUUUUGCAUUUGAAUUUUGUCAAAUAAAUGUAUUCAUAUAAAAAUAUGAAUAUUAAUGUUUUUAAUCAUACAAACAUAUUUUUGACAGCUCCCUUAUUCCAUAGACGACCAGGUCAUUGAUGCGUUAUUGCCACCUGCUGUUCCGGAGUAUGAGUCAAACCACUACACAGCAGCUAAUCCAUGCAUUUAUCUUUAGUGGAACUGAUCACUGAACCGAGCCAGACACAACCGGACUGCGUUAAAUGCCGACCAGUUCCAUGUGUGAGUUCUGCCCGGUUUUUCAGUAGCCCGGUUCUCUAAUAACAAAGGGCGCAUGAGCAGACCGCGUCAUCUCCUUACAGCCAGCUGACAUUUCAGACAUUCAU